This 301-nucleotide ribosomal RNA is filed under the name uncultured bacterium. RNAcentral's name for it is "partial 16S ribosomal RNA". It matches the Rfam family "Bacterial small subunit ribosomal RNA", at positions 509 to 807 of the family's 1533-position model. The record is from RNAcentral.
CAGCAGCCACGGUAAGACGUAGGAUGCAAGCGUUGUCCGGAUUUAUUGGGCGUAAAGAGUUCGUAGGCGGUUUAUUAAGUCUGAUGUUAAAGAUCGGGGCUCAACCCUGGGAGUGCAUUGGAUACUGUAUAGCUAGAGUACGGCAGAGGGGGAUGGAAUUCCGCGUGUAGCAGUGAAAUGCGUAGAUAUGCGGAGGAACACCGAUGGCGAAGGCAAUCCCCUGGGCCUGUACUGACGCUCAUGCACGAAAGCGUGGGGAGCAAACAGGAUUAGAUACCCCUGUAGUCCCUGUCUCUUAUAC